RNAcentral lists this long non-coding RNA (884 nucleotides) under Phasianus colchicus (ring-necked pheasant). RNAcentral describes it as "lncRNA (ENSPCLG00000008459.1)". The record is from RNAcentral. Lineage: Eukaryota; Metazoa; Chordata; Aves; Galliformes; Phasianidae.
CAAAGAUUCCUCCUCUGUGGAGUUUCCCCUGGGAACCUUGAUCCUUGGAGAUGGGUGAGCAAUCUUUUUCUCUUCCAUUGUAACACUUUUUCAUCACGUUGAUCUUUCCAAUUGUUACAGAUGUCCUUCAUGGAAGUAGGUUUCCUCUUGAGAUAAUCUAUCUUGCUGCCAAGAGGAGGGUUAACGUGGUGUCAGUAUAGCAACAGCACCAGUUAGGGGCGUCUGGAAACAUUUCAGUACGUACUCCAAGAAAUAUCAGUGAAUGCAACUGUGAAGUGAUGAUGAUGAAAGCAGCUAUAUCAGUCCCUGCAUGGCUCAGGCAGUGUGGCUCCGGACCACAGCCUCUAUGUCUUGGGAUGGGAACACGUGUGUGACAUAGGAAGGAAGCAUGCUGUGUCAAGACAGCUAAGAAAGAAGGCAUCAUUUCAGAUCUGGUCUAAAUCACCAUUCCCAGAAUAAAAAAAAAAAAAAAAAUGAAAUUACACAAAGUUGCUCAGGGACAAACCUUUGGAGCUCCACCCUACAGCACCUUGUUAUUCCUGGAGCACUGCAUAGAUCCUGAACGUGGCUGUACAGGCAUCCCUCCGCUUGCCAGCAUUUUCCAUAUGAGGGCCUUGCUAUGACUAAACACAGUUUUAUAAGUCCCAUGGCAUCCAGCUAUAAAUAAGAAGAUCAAAGCCUUGACCCUUGGAAACUAACUGUGACCUCAUCAUUGAGCAACCGUGCCCCAAAGACUGUAUUAAGCUGGAAGGGAACAUAAAUCUAGGAGGAACUAAUGAAGACCCCCAGGGCCACCCUUCUCUAUAGCUGUCUUGUUAACAUGAUCUAGGAAAGACAGGGGGCCCUUAAAUAAAACAAAAAAAAAACCAGAGGUAAUAAGUGAC